Long non-coding RNA from Lepidothrix coronata (blue-crowned manakin), 763 nucleotides. RefSeq lists it as uncharacterized. The record is from RefSeq and is a predicted model, not a curated record. The transcript has 2 exons. NCBI's taxonomy places the organism in Eukaryota, Metazoa, Chordata, Aves, Passeriformes, Pipridae.
GGUGCAGCCCCAUGCUGCUGCCCAGCUUGAGGGGCUGGGAUUCAGGGUGAUGCUCACUAGCAUUCAUGGCCCCACAUCUUCCUGCUAUGCAUUUAGCUUUGUUGUUUUUUACCCUGACCUUUGCAUUUUAAAGAAACUCCCUCCCGGGUUGCAAUCUGAAGCUUUUAGGGCUGUUGUGGUGCCGUGGAAGUGCAAGCACUUUGUGCUAAGCGAGUCUUAAAAAACUAAACGCCAGAGCAGCCAACUCUUAUUUUUCCAUCCUGCUAAUUUUCAUCCUAGUAAAAAAAUUGGACCAAAUAUAGCCUUGGUUUAUUUUUUUAAAAGCAGAUGGUAAGAUGCUAAACACUGUUUGUGGAAACAGCAAGUCAAAACAUCUUCCUAUGGCUGCAAUGAGCAGAGGAGCUGCCAUGGGAAGUUUUUGCCAUAGUCUCAUCACUGCUCUCUGACCAUGGUGGAGCAUCAUCUGUAGCUUGAAACUGCUGUCUCAGUUCUCCCUUCUUCUUAAAUCCUGAAAUCCUCUUUUAGAAUACAGCACAUGUGGUUUCUUUCCCCUCCACCCCCACCUCUUCUUAUCGGGUGUUUUCCCACUGUGUCUCUGGGUGAACACCUCCCCAGACUCUCCCUGGACUUUCAAUCCUUCUCCAGCAAUUGCAUGGUGGCAAGGAAACGUGGCUUGGGAUCGGGAUCGUGUGGUUGGUGAAACCCUAACAUGUGUGAUACCUGCCUGUCCUCAGCCUGGGGUCAGACAUCUGCAUCCUGUUCU